GACGAACGCUGGCGGCGCGCUUAACACAUGCAAGUCGUGCGGUACCGAUGGCAAGUCUUCUUGACGAGCCUUCGGUAUAGCGGCGGACGGGUGAGUAACACGUGAGUAGCUGUCCUAGGGAGGGGGAUAACGCCUGGAAAACGGGUGCUAAAACCCCAUAAGCCUCGAAAGAGGUAAAAGUGCAUCACUGCAGUCCUAGGGUGUGCUCGCGGCCUAUCAGCUAGUUGGUGAGGUAAGGGCUCACCAAGGCCAAGACGGGUAGCCGGCCUGAGAGGGUGUACGGCCACACUGGAAUUGAGAUACGGUCCAGACUCCUACGGGAGGCAGCAGUGGGGAAUUUUGGGCAAUGGGCGAAAGCCUGACCCAGCGACGCCGCGUUGGGGAUGAAGUCCUUCGGGGCGUAAACCCAUGUUGUAGGGGAAGAAGAAAGUGACGGUACCCUACGAGAAAGCCCCGGCCAACUACGUG
RNAcentral lists this ribosomal RNA (468 nucleotides) under uncultured bacterium. RNAcentral's name for it is "bacterial SSU rRNA". It matches the Rfam family "Bacterial small subunit ribosomal RNA", at positions 28 to 507 of the family's 1533-position model. The record is from RNAcentral.